This 494-nucleotide ribosomal RNA is filed under the name uncultured bacterium. RNAcentral describes it as "partial 16S ribosomal RNA". It matches the Rfam family "Bacterial small subunit ribosomal RNA", at positions 28 to 507 of the family's 1533-position model. The record is from RNAcentral.
GACGAACGCUGGCGGCGUGCUUAACACAUGCAAGUCGAACGGUGAAGCGCCUUCCUUUUUGGUGGGUGUGGAUGAGUGGCGAACGGGUGAGUAACACGUGAGUAACCUGCCCCCUUCUUCUGGAUAACCGCAUGAAAGUGUGGCUAAUACGGGAUAUUCUGGGUCUGUCGCAUGAUGGGUCUGGGAAAGAUAUUGUUUCGGUGGGGGAUGGGCUCGCGGCCUAUCAGCUUGUUGGUGGGGUGAUGGCCUACCAAGGCGGUGACGGGUAGCCGGCCUGGGAGGGUGGACGGUCACACUGGGACUGAGACACGGCCCAGACUCCUACGGGGGGCAGCAGUGGGGAAUAUUGCACAAUGGGAGCAAGGCUGAUGCAGCGACGCCGCGUGAGGGAUGGAGGCCUUCGGGUUGUGAACCUCUUUCGCCAGUGAAGCAGGCCUGCCUCGUUUGUGGGUGGGUUGACGGUAGCUGGAUAAGAAGCGCCGGCUAACUACGUG